This 498-nucleotide ribosomal RNA is filed under the name Andinosaura vieta. Its description in RNAcentral is "partial 16S ribosomal RNA". It matches the Rfam family "Bacterial large subunit ribosomal RNA", at positions 1832 to 2594 of the family's 2925-position model. The record is from RNAcentral. Lineage: Eukaryota; Metazoa; Chordata; Lepidosauria; Squamata; Gymnophthalmidae.
CUCUAGCAUAAAGUAUUAAAGGUGACGCCUGCCCAGUGAUUUAUUUAAACGGCCGCGGGAUCCUCCACCGUGCAAAGGUAGCAUAAUCACUUGUCCCCUAAAUAGUGACUAGUAUGAACGGCCUAAUGAAGAUUUAACUGUCUCUUAUAAUUGAUCUAUGAAACUAAUUUAUCAGUACAAAAACUGUUAUACUAACAUAAGACGAAAAGACCCUGUGGAACUUUAAGCUCAACUCACCACACAUGACGCCACUAGCUUUUAGUUGGGGCAACUUUGGAAAUAAACAGAACUUCCAAUACCUAUAAGAUAUACACAUCUACUUCACCACUACAUAUGACCCAGUCCAACUGAUUAAAGAACCAAGCUACCCCAGGGAUAACAGCGCCAUCCCCUCCAAGAGCCCAAAUCGACGAGCGGGGUUUACGACCUCGAUGUUGGAUCAGGGCCCCCAAACAGUGCAACAGCUGUUAAUGGUUUGUUUGUUCAACAAUUAAUAGC